Bombus terrestris (buff-tailed bumblebee) is the source of this 2684-nucleotide long non-coding RNA. RefSeq lists it as uncharacterized. The transcript is spliced from 2 exons. Lineage: Eukaryota; Metazoa; Arthropoda; Insecta; Hymenoptera; Apidae. The record is from RefSeq and is a predicted model, not a curated record.
UACCAUAUUCGAAAUUUUACAUGCAAACCUUUCCUUCUUUUUUUAAAGAUUGAAGUUGUGAGAGAGAAAUGAGAAAUAAUCUAUGUUAACAACCGCCGUCUACAUUUUUUUACAAAUUUAAGAGUCUUUUUAUUGAUGAAAAUAGUUUUUAACAAGUAAUAACGACGAACAGGGAAUUAAAAUUUUAUUUAAAAAUGCUGGUUUAGUGUGAAGUUGUAAAAAGCUAUUAACUGUGAUUAUCUAAUUAAUAAAUAAUACGAAAAAUGUUGAAAAAUUUAAGAAAAUUCUUUAAAAAUUAUCUGGUAAAACAGAUUUUAUUUCAGUCUCAGAUAAUAUAUUUACUUCUUUUUUCAUAUCCAUAAUAAAUGAACAUUUUUAACGAGGAUUGAAAGAAUGAAGUAUAAUUUUAGCACAUAGAUGAUAUCAGUGAAACGUAUUCUAUAUAACAGCGACAAAUAACGAAUCUGUAAAGAUGAGAUUCAUCCGUAAUUAUAAUUGAAACAAAAUUAUUUCAGUCAAGAAGCGAAGUUAAAGGAAGGUAGUACAAUGAUAUCUGAGAAUCUUGGUAAAGUCAGAAAAUAAUAGUUGUUCACGAUCGGUGAUUCAUAAUGAAAUUUUCGGUGAUUCAUUUUUAGCGAUGUUGUAACGAGGCUCAACGUUUGAAGCCGAUCACAGUGGUGUCCCCAAAAGAAAAUUACGAAAUAAAUCCAUGAGAACGGUGCUUGAUCGAGGAGUAGAAUUUCUUCAACGAUUGUCGAAAUCACUCAUUUCGAAGAUUUCGCUUUAAUUAAAACGCGCCAACGUUGAUAAUGAGGACCGAAUAUUGCUUGUAUAAUUUCCGAUCGAUAUAAGAAGUUUCAGAAAAUUUUAAGUUCAACAACCUCUGCAGAAUAAAGCCCUAACAUCGAGAUUUAGAUCCAUUGUGUUGUUCGACCAACAGUCAGCUAUUUAGAUACAUUCAUUGUAUGCAUAUAUACAUUAGGAUAUGUUCUAUAUUGGGAAAUUCUGACAAAUUUUAUUUUAUUUUAUAUUUUACAUUAAUUACAAAAUAAUAUCAACGAGAAUGCAAAUUUUAAUCUUGUUCAUCGCUUAAACCUUUCCCAUCAAUAUUCGUAGAUUUCAUAUAAUUUUCACAAUUCAGUAAUCCAAGAAAUUUUGCUUCUUCUUAUCUUGAAGAACUCUUUUAAAAUUAUUCAUCCUUAAGUGUAAGCAAUUUGUAUAUUUCGCAUAUAUUUUAUCCAUACAACACCACACCUACUUAACCAGUACAUUCAUGACUAUACAUUUACUUCAAUAAUCUAGUUUAUUAAACCAUGAAGAACUACCCUUUCUUGUAGUUGUACAAAGCCUCGGCUCUGAAACAUAGUUUCAUACUGAUCGUAUGAAAGAUACGGAAAACAUAAACACAAAAGUACUGCUCCGUAUCUUUUCUCAUCUUUCGUAUAUUAAAUUUUAGAACUAAGGUUAAAAUUGAUAUCAAUUUAAAAUUGAACUAUUAAUUUAAAGUUUAACUAUUAAACUUAAAAAUUACGGCCGAGGUUAACAUAUUUGAACACAUCUAUAUUUAUAUUCAGUUUAUUUCUAAAGCGAUUCCGAAGAAAGACGAUUUUUGUAUAGAGGCUAAUAAGCACAAAAGGCAGAACGUGCACCAUAGGACAACAAACUUGUAUAAGAGCAUAUCAUGAAAAGCUGAUAUCGCAAAAUACAUACAUAAGUAGAAGAAAGUUCUGUUAAAACGUGUAUAAACGCAAGAGGGCGGAUAUCAUCCGCAACUGUCUUCUUCGACUUCCUUUCGUUGUUCUCUUGCUUCCUAAAAUUUUCGUCGAAAGGAAGAACGCUUUUCAUCGUAACCACGUUUUCAGUAUCCAAAAAGGUAGGAAGCACCGAGGAGCAUAAAGAAGAUUGAGAAAACGAGGCUGGAAGAAUACGAAGAAACGAAGGAGGAGCUAUUCAGACAGUUUCCAGCAAGCAAUUUUUCGCCGUGUACACAAGCUCGUAUCUGCGUUCUCCCACUGUAAUUCCAAAAAGUGGGCUGAGCUAAAUGGAUUGCGAUGUCUUGCGGUCUUUUGCGCAGUUUAAAACGAAUGAAUGUGUCAGAUGGAUUUAUGUGGAAUUUUAAAAACUGCUCUCUUCAAAGACACCGCUAAGUCUUGCAGCGGUAGCAACUGUUGAAGAAAUAAUCUUGUAAAUAAAAUGAUAACGUCGCCGCCUGGUUUUAUGAAACGACCGAUAUUUAUUCAACUACGGUUAAACGUACUUGGGAAGAUGUUAAAUAUUCAAGUGCUACAAACUAAAAGUUUAGAUUGCUCGUCUUCGCUACUUAAUAUGAUGUAAUUUUUACACAUGAUAAUUAAUAUCCUUACGGCUCUUUCGCCGAAGCUUCGGAAGAACGCAUACGCGGCAACCGUCGCAGAUUUCUAACAAACGCGCGCGAUAUCGAUGGCCAACAAAGAAAAGAAUCGGCGUGGCUUUUGAAUAAAAGAGAUUCAGUCUGCCCCGAGCUGCGAAGUGCGAAGGAUUACGCGAAGCAAACGCAGAGAGACGAGUAGUCGACUUCCGAUAACCAGCGUUAAACAUUGUUUGUUAUCAAGCGUUGUUAAUCGUUAACUGUUGUCAAUCGUUGUUUGUUGUUAAUUGUUAUUUGUCGUCAGUUGUCAAAAGUCAAUAAAUGUUAUUGUUGAAAA